CUUCCCAUUUAUUUACUGCUAUAAUCUCUCAAUGACAUGAGCACUUAUACGCAUGGGAUAAAAUAAUAUUUGGCCAUUGUAAAUUGGGAUGAAGCAACUAUAUUUCAUCUCUUCUGCAUUGUCUAGACAUCA
Castor canadensis (American beaver) is the source of this 132-nucleotide small nucleolar RNA. The record is from Ensembl. Lineage: Eukaryota; Metazoa; Chordata; Mammalia; Rodentia; Castoridae.